Molecule: ribosomal RNA, 436 nt
Filed under: uncultured bacterium
Lineage: Bacteria
Description: partial 16S ribosomal RNA
Rfam family: Bacterial small subunit ribosomal RNA
Source: RNAcentral
CCUACGGGAGGCAGCAGUGGGGAAUAUUGCACAAUGGGGGAAACCCUGAUGCAGCGACGCCGCGUGGGUGAAGAAGUAUUUCGGUAUGUAAAGCCCUAUCAGCAGGGAAGAAAGAAGACGGUACCUGACUAAGAAGCCCCGGCUAACUACGUGCCAGCAGCCGCGGUAAUACGUAGGGGGCGAGCGUUAUCCGGAUUCACUGGGUGUAAAGGGAGCGUAGACGGCCGUGCAAGCCAGGAGUGAAAGCCCGGGGCCCAACCCCGGGACUGCUCUUGGAACUGUGCGGCUGGAGUGCGGGAGGGGCAGGCGGAAUUCCUGGUGUAGCGGUGAAAUGCGUAGAUAUCAGGAGGAACACCGGCGGCGAAGGCGGCCUGCUGGACCGCGACUGACGUUGAGGCUCGAAAGCGUGGGGAGCGAACAGGAUUAGAUACUGGUC